RNAcentral lists this ribosomal RNA (253 nucleotides) under uncultured bacterium. Its description in RNAcentral is "partial 16S ribosomal RNA". It matches the Rfam family "Bacterial small subunit ribosomal RNA", at positions 524 to 776 of the family's 1533-position model. The record is from RNAcentral.
UACAGAGGGGGCGAGCGUUGUUCGGAAUUACUGGGCGUAAAGCGCACGUAGGCGGCUUGGUAUGUCGGGUGUGAAAUCCCCGGGCUCAACCUGGGAACUGCAUCCGAAACUGCCUUGCUCGAGUAUGGGAGAGGGAUGCGGAAUUCCAGGUGUAGCGGUGAAAUGCGUAGAUAUCGGGAGGAACACCUAUGGCGAAGGCAGCUCGCUGGGACGUUACUGACGCUGAGACGCGAAAGCGUGGGGAGCAAACAGG